CCUACGGGUGGCUGCAGUGGGGAAUAUUGCACAAUGGGGGAAACCCUGAUGCAGCGACGCCGCGUGAGUGAAGAAGUAAUUCGUUAUGUAAAGCUCUAUCAGCAGGGAAGAAAAUGACGGUACCUGAGUACGAAGCCCCGGCCAACUACGUCCCAGCAGCCGCGGUCAUACGUAGGGGGCAAGCGUUAUCCGGAUUUACUGGGGGUAACGGGAGCGUAGACGGCAGUGCAAGUCUGGAGUGAAAGGCGGGGGCUCAACCCCCGGACUGCUCUGGAGACUGUACGGCUGGAGUGCAGGAGGGGUGAGUAGAAUUCCUAGUGUAGCGGUGAAAUGCGUAGAUAUUAGGAGGAACACCGGUGGCGAAGGCGGCUUACUGGACUGUAACUGACGUUGAGGCUCGAAAGCGUGGGGAGCAAACAGGAUUAGAUACCCGGGUAGUC
RNAcentral lists this ribosomal RNA (440 nucleotides) under uncultured bacterium. RNAcentral describes it as "partial 16S ribosomal RNA". It matches the Rfam family "Bacterial small subunit ribosomal RNA", at positions 338 to 795 of the family's 1533-position model. The record is from RNAcentral.